Molecule: small RNA, 714 nt
Filed under: Pan troglodytes (chimpanzee)
Lineage: Eukaryota; Metazoa; Chordata; Mammalia; Primates; Hominidae
Description: retained intron
Source: RNAcentral
GAUUCCCUUUUUAGUCCUCCUCCAUCAAAGAAAAUGAAGUUAUUUGGAUUUAAAGAAGACCCAUUUGUAUUUAUUCCUGAAGAUGACCCAUUAUUUCCACCUAUUGAGAAAUUUUAUGCUUUGGAUCCUUCAUUCCCAAGGAUGAAUUUGUUAACUCGGACUACAGAAGGGAAGAAAAGGCAGCUCUACAUGGUUUCUAAGGAGUUGCGGAAUGUGCUGCUGAAUAACAGCGAGAAGAUGAAGGUACCAGCCGCACAGACGCUGAGUGCUGUGUGAUGCGGGAUGCGUGUGGCUUUUCACAGCGGCUUAGAUUUCAUUUGGAGCAGACCGUGACAUCUGCCCUCCCCACCUGUAGCGUUGGCUGUGGGUCCCUGAGCCUGCCCUUUGAUUUCAGAGCUGUUGACUGACACAGGGCUGAAUGGUUCCUGCCAGAGUCCUGAAUCUGGUGGCCUGUGUCUUUUCUGUGCCCCAUUCCCGCAGGGGGGUGAGCCAUGGUGUAGUUCUCAAAGCUCGCCCUCCUGGGCAGGGAAGGUACUAAAGGUGUAGAGGCUGCGAGUACUGCUGCCCCGACCCUUGGGAUUUGUCCUUUGAGGUACUUCCCUUAGAAUUUGGCCAUUUGGGGGCCCUUCUUUCAUUUGCUUUACUGUCCUCCAAACGACGUAAACACAAGUUGUGAGUAUCAGUUCGUUCUUACUGGGGUUUCUCGGUGGGUUU